CUACGGGGCGCUCCAGUGGGGAAUAUUGGACAAUGGACCAAAAGUCUGAUCCAGCAAUUCUGUGUGUUUGAUGAAGGCCUUCGGGUUGUAAAGAACUUUAAGUAGGGAAGAAGAAAGUGACGGUACCUACAGAAUAAGCGACGGCUAAAUACGUGCCAGCAGCCGCGGUAAUACGUAUGUCGCAAGCGUUAUCCGGAAUUAUUGGGCAUAAAGCGCGUCUAGGCGGUUUACUAAGUCUGAUGUGAAAAUGCGGGGCUCAACUCCGUAUUGCGUUGGAAACUGGUAGACUAGAGUAUUGGAGAGGUAGGCGGAACUACAAGUGUAGAGGUGAAAUUCGUAGAUAUUUGUAGGAAUGCCAAUGACGAAGGUAGCUUACUGGACAAAUACUGACGCUGAAGCGCGAAAGCUAGGGGAGCAAACAGGAUUAGAUACCCGCGUAGUC
This 442-nucleotide ribosomal RNA is filed under the name uncultured bacterium. RNAcentral describes it as "partial 16S ribosomal RNA". It matches the Rfam family "Bacterial small subunit ribosomal RNA", at positions 339 to 795 of the family's 1533-position model. The record is from RNAcentral.